GGAAAAUAUCUAUAUCUUCUGAACUUUUUUCUGCAGCAUCUAGAAAUCCAUUUUCUGUUCUCUUUAAAAAAUCAGUAAUUUGGGUUUAUUUGCUUUUGCUUGAUAGAUCUUUGAAAUUUUAUGGGAUGGAGUUAAGUAUUUUUGAAGUGGUCUAUUUAAUUUUAUGCGUAUUUUAUUUAUUUAUUUGUUUAAGUCGAAGGGUCAUAAAAUACUGGAAUCUUCAAAUAGUUUUAUUUGGAAAUAUUGAAAAAUUACAUCCAAGAAAUGCUUUCCCCGCACAAAAUCUCAAAAUUGCAUUGUUAUGUGAGAUUUACUGUAAAUUCUAAAGGCCGCCACACACAGAACGAUUGUCGUUAGAUCAGUCGCUAGAUUUCCGUUUCGUCAGACCGAUUGUAUGUCCUCACACACGACAUAAUGUUCCAUGUGUGGAGUCCUGCGGUCGAUCUGACAGUUGGGCGGUUUGACAACGGAUCUGCCCUCAGAUACGUCGUCAAAUUGCCGGAUUGUCGGAUCGAUUGUGGGACUCCACACAUGGAACGAUUUAUCGUCAGAUCCGUCGUUGAGACCAAUCGUUCGGAUUCAUUGUCAAGCAAUCACUACAGUCAAAAUGUGUGGUGAGUAUGGGGUGCGAGAUACUUUCGUAUGCGGCUUUGGCUUUAUUACUUUAUAAAGAAAAGAAUAGAACGAAAAGAGAAGUUUAAGUUGUUUUUGUUUAGUUAAUCUAUCAGUGUGAACAACCUGUCGAAACAUUCUUUUCGACAGAUUUGCCCACACACGGUCGAAUCUGUCGAACGAAUUGUUCUCUGACGACAGAUCGCUCCGUGUGUGACGACGGCCUUU
RNAcentral lists this long non-coding RNA (840 nucleotides) under Androctonus crassicauda. The record is from RNAcentral. Lineage: Eukaryota; Metazoa; Arthropoda; Arachnida; Scorpiones; Buthidae.